ACCGGGCUUGAUAACGCAUGCCUGUAACUCAAGUGAGGGUAUCAAAGAUGGUUGGUCAGUCACUCGGUCCAGUCAGGUUGGCUCCAUUGGCGCACAAGCUGGCUUGCCCGUUCCAAGUUGUGAGUUGGACUACUGCGUAAGGCUGGCUUCACAGAGCUGCGAAAACCCCUUGCUCAUGACAGUGGAAGGAUAACGAGCCAGGGCUCUAUGGCUUGUAACGCCCUGUGUUUUGUACUUUCUAUUUA
Molecule: signal recognition particle RNA, 245 nt
Filed under: Helianthus annuus (common sunflower)
Lineage: Eukaryota; Viridiplantae; Streptophyta; Magnoliopsida; Asterales; Asteraceae
Description: Plant signal recognition particle RNA
Rfam family: Plant signal recognition particle RNA
Source: RNAcentral